CCUGACUCCCUUUUAUAACUCUGGGAUUUGACAUGCACCCUGCAGCAUCCCACAUGCAACAGGUAGUGUUUGUUUCUUGUUUUCUGUAGGGAAGCGUGAAGAAUGAACCCUUAUCGUCCUGUCCAUUGUAACUCACUAAGAUUCAUUCCCAUCUGCAAAUGGGGAAAAUCUUCCUAGUUUCUACAGUAUCUACCAUUUCCUGCCAGUGAGAUAUCGCUGUUUUGGAGCAGUUCCUGAUUUCUCCUGCAACAACGCAUCUUCUUGUGACCCAGUGAGGUUCAGAAUCGGAUUUUUUUUAUAAUGACACUUGGUAAAUGGCUCCAGCUCUUGUGAUGAGAUAACUCGAGUUUAAGGUGAAGUUUCAUUGGAAAGCAUGCUACACCUGUACUUCUGCCCUACCACACCUUACACAGGAAAUCAAAAGAAAAUUCACCUUUUCUCCCAUGCCUUGUAAACACAGAAGUGGAUCCUUACUUGCUAAAAAUAACCCUGGUUUUGCUGUGCAAACAAUCACCCUUGGUCUUGUUCCCACUCACCCAUAAGAGCCCAAGUGAAAGAGCAGCUGAGUUCUGAGGAGGAGCCGAUUUUCAUAUGUGAGUGCAUUUGUAUUCUCUAUUUUUGGAGCGCUUAAGGAGAUGAUCUGGGGAAGACAGGAAGCACUCGUCCUCCACUUUCUGUCCAGCCAGGCACUCAGCUCCCUAGGGUGUAGAGGAAGAUGGAAAGGUUGACCAUGUUGUAAGGUAAACGAUUUUAACUAGCCCUCAAAAAUUUAUAUCUUGCUAUAUAAGCAUCUGUCCGCCUCUCUGGAUGGCAAACGGUGAUCAUUCUGCGAAAAGAAUUCUUUACAGCACUUCAUCCAGCUAGGCCCUUGUUUCGCAGUGCUUAGACAAACACUUUUCGGUUUAUGUAAAUAGUUGGUGGAUCAAAUUUCCCUAGCUGCCACACCCAACCAGCCUGAAUCACCAAGAGAAACAUAAGGAGAGUCAACUUUU
This 992-nucleotide long non-coding RNA is filed under the name Anser brachyrhynchus (Pink-footed goose). RNAcentral's name for it is "lncRNA (ENSABRG00000022054.1)". The record is from RNAcentral. Lineage: Eukaryota; Metazoa; Chordata; Aves; Anseriformes; Anatidae.